GAUGAACGCUGGCGGCGUGCUUAACACAUGCGAGUCGAACGAGAGAAGAUCGGUGCUUGCACUGAUCCGAUCGAGUGGCGGACGGGUGAGUAACGCGUGGGAAACCUGCCUCAUACAGGGGAAUAACAGUUGGAAACGGCUGCUAAAACCGCAUAAGCGCACAGUAUCGCAUGAUACAGUGUGAAAAACUCCGGUGGUAUGAGAUGGACCCGCGUCUGAUUAGCUAGUUGGUGAGGUAACGGCCCACCAAGGCAACGAUCAGUAGCCGGCCUGAGGGGGGGAACGGCCACAUUGGGACUGAGACACGGCCCAAACUCCUACGGGAGGCAGCAGUGGGGAAUUUUGCACAAUGGACGCAAGUCUGAUGCAGCGAUUCCGCGUGGAGGAUGAAGCAUUUCGGUGUGUAAACUCCUUUUCUGGUGGAAGACGAAUGACGGUACACCAGGAAUAAGAGACGGCUAACUACGUGCCAGCCGCCGCAGUAA
This 485-nucleotide ribosomal RNA is filed under the name uncultured bacterium. RNAcentral's name for it is "partial 16S ribosomal RNA". It matches the Rfam family "Bacterial small subunit ribosomal RNA", at positions 28 to 523 of the family's 1533-position model. The record is from RNAcentral.